GGCUUCGUAAUGGGAGCCCUGGAGAAUGUCUGGCCCUUCACCUUUGCCUGGAAUCCGAGUAGCUGUAGCUGGGACAGGCAGCAGGAGAAGGACUCUUUCUAGGGCCUCUCGGAGGCUACCGACUUCUGGGUUCUUCUCUCUUCCUCUUCAUCUGGGCGUGCACUGAUCCCUUCGCUUGGCUCGGAUCUUCCUCGCGAGCUUCCCCAUCCUUUCCAUCGGUAUUUGGACGCAGCCCCGGAGGAGACAGGUUAAAAACUUACACAUACACUUAACCAUCCAUCUCAGCAAUUCCGCUCUCAGAUACCAACCCACGAAAAAAUCGCACGCCUGCAAAGUCUUACACUUGGAUGUUCGUAUCUGCAUUAUUCCCAAUCGGCAAAAACUGGGAACGACCCAAAUCACCAUCCACAGGUCACCGGAUAUACCGCAGCCCUUCCAUAUAAUGGAAUGCCAUCCAUCAAAAAAAGGAACUCGCCAUCAAUCUAUGCGACAAUGUGAACGGAUCUCAAAAACACAAUGCUGAGCAAAACAAGCUAGACAUAAAGGAGUUCACACUGGAUGAUGCCACUAACUGAAACUCUAGAAAUGACCAAGCGCGCCCACAGUGACAGCAAAUCGGCGGUCGCCCGGGGCCUGACUGUAUAGAUGGAGGGUGUUCUCCUUAUGGGUGCCUGUGUUCCUUUCUCUCUUCUUAUAAGGACACCAGUCGUUGGAUCAAGUCCCACCCCAACCCAGUAUGACCUCGCCUUAACUCGAUCACAUCUGCAAAGACCCUACUUCCAAAGAUCACAUUCACAGGUAUCUGGGUUAGUUAGCACUUGAACAUAUCUUUUCUAGGGACAUACAAUUCAACUUAGCGCAGAGACCUUACGUUCCUCUAACAACAAAUAACAGCAGGUCACAAGGAAGCUCCGAAGGGCCGGCUGGCUGGGGAAGAGAGUGGCACUGGGACCCCGGAUGAGGAACAAUGGAGAAGCUGGGGUCACACCUUGAAUAUGCCACUGACUUGCUGUUCAAUGGCUCUCCAUCCCUUCCCUCUCUCUGGAACUUGAUUUCACCAUUUUGUAGCAAUUUUCUUUAAGUGUAUUUCUUUAUUUUGAGAGAGAAAGCAUGCCCGUGCACAUGCGAGUGGGGGAAGGGCAGAGAGAGAGAGAGAGAGAGAGGAAGAGAGAGAAUCCCAAGCAGGCUCCACACUGACAGCACGGAGCUGGACGCAGAGCUCAGUCUCACAAAUCAUUAGAUCAGAACCUGGGCAGAAAUCUGGAGUCAGAUGCUUGGCCACUGAGCCAGCCAGGUGCCCCCGAUUUCACCGUUGUUUCUUUUUUUUUUUUUUUUUUUUUUUUAAUGUUUUUAUUU
Long non-coding RNA from Prionailurus viverrinus (fishing cat), 1356 nucleotides. RefSeq lists it as uncharacterized. The transcript is spliced from 3 exons. The record is from RefSeq and is a predicted model, not a curated record. Lineage: Eukaryota; Metazoa; Chordata; Mammalia; Carnivora; Felidae.